CGACCCUUAUUAAGCCGAGGGUCACCUAGCCAACUGACGUUGUUAGUGAAUACACAUUGUUCACAUCAUACAUAAGCCAAUCGCACUCAUUUUGCGGUUGGUUUUUUUUUU
Vibrio vulnificus YJ016 is the source of this 111-nucleotide non-coding RNA. NCBI's taxonomy places the organism in Bacteria, Pseudomonadati, Pseudomonadota, Gammaproteobacteria, Vibrionales, Vibrionaceae. The record is from Rfam.